Molecule: ribosomal RNA, 300 nt
Filed under: uncultured Aeropyrum sp.
Lineage: Archaea; Thermoproteati; Thermoproteota; Thermoprotei; Acidilobales; Acidilobaceae
Description: bacterial SSU rRNA
Rfam family: Bacterial small subunit ribosomal RNA
Source: RNAcentral
GGGUGCAGUACAGAGGUGGCGGGCGGGGUCCGGAAGCAACGGGCGUGAAGGGGGCGUAGGUGGCGACAGUAAGGUGGCGGGGAAAGUGUGGGGCUCAAGCCCGGAGGGGCGGCGGCGACUGUGGGGCUUGGGUACGGUAGAGGCAGAUGGAAUUCCGGGUGUAGCGGUGGAAUGCGUAGAGAGCCGGAAGAACACCAGUGGCGAAGGCGGUCUGCUGGGCAGUGUGAUCGAAAGGUCCCUUCAACCGACACUGAGGCGCGACAGCGUGGGGAGCAAACAGGAUUAGAUACCCGGGUAGUC